CACGUACGUCCUAGUCCUACACAUAAUCACAUAUAUUUAUUCUCCUGCUAAAGCUCUACUGAUAAUGACGGGACAUCCUGCCAAAGAAUAAAUUAAAUGCUAAUGGCUUACAGGCAUAUGGCUGGCCGCUCUGCCACGAACACUGGCCUAAUCUUGAUUAACAAAUCAAACAAAACUAUUGCGAUGUUUCUCAGCCGUUGGCUUACUAGCUAGUAGGAGGAGCAGAUAGAACUGAUAGACUAUUAUAACAAACUGGAGGCUCAGGAAGUCAGGAUAAGGCUCAAUGAUGAUCACUUAAUUAGUUAAGCUGAUCAGCAGAUGUCACCCAAAUUGAUUAUUUGUAUACAGUUCUUUAAUCAGUACGCUACUCACACAGCCAGUGACAUUUUCAGCCACUUGAUUAAAAACACACUGAAACAAAACACGCAGCCUAAUCUCUUCCCAACAACCACCACCCUCCGACCUAACUUAAAAACUGUAAUCAAAUACCUAAAUGUUAGCAUGUCGUCGAUCAUCUUACUGUUUCUGCACUGAUCAAAAGCACCAUUUGUAAAUUGUAUAUAAUCAUAUGACAACAAUUGGUAUGUAUAAAAUCGUAACCCACUUGAACAGUCUGAAACUCUGAAUGUCUUACAUCGACUGCUUUGCUUGUCUUGUCGUCUGUGUGAUUGCAGUGGA
This 678-nucleotide long non-coding RNA is filed under the name Sorghum bicolor (sorghum). RNAcentral describes it as "long non-coding RNA (SBIC_LNC011325)". The record is from RNAcentral. Lineage: Eukaryota; Viridiplantae; Streptophyta; Magnoliopsida; Poales; Poaceae.